AAGUCUCUCUAAUUAGAAACAUUCCGUUUUGAUUCACUUUUCUCUUAGAGGCUCCUGUAGAGGAGAUUUCAGUGGUGAAGAGAGAUGGAGGACUUUAUGUUGAUGCUAUUGAUGACCGUGGAGUGAAUGCUGUUCUCAGUGGAUUAGUACCUGACAACUUUGCUGUGCGGGAGCCUUAUGAUCGCGUCAUACGAUGUCUGGGUUUCAAGUUUGACUUCUCCAUAUUUGACAACACAACUAAACCAAAACCAGCUAGAGGAUCACGUGCCAAAAAAUACCCAGCUGUAAAACCAAGCUAUGAAUCUACAACUAUACCCAGGCUCUAUUUUGGUAAGGUGAACAAUCAGGGCCGGGUUGUUCGAAAGCCGG
This is a long non-coding RNA of Orbicella faveolata, 369 nucleotides long. The record is from RefSeq and is a predicted model, not a curated record. Lineage: Eukaryota; Metazoa; Cnidaria; Anthozoa; Scleractinia; Merulinidae.